UUAGAGUUUGAAUCCUGGCUCAGAUUGAACGCUGGCGGCAUGCCUUACACAUGCAAGUCGAACGGCAGCGCGGGAGCAAUCCUGGCGGCGAGUGGCGAACGGGUGAGUAAUACAUCGGAACGUGCCCAAUCGUGGGGGAUAACGCAGCGAAAGCUGUGCUAAUACCGCAUACGAUCUACGGAUGAAAGCAGGGGAUCGCAAGACCUUGCGCGAAUGGAGCGGCCGAUGGCAGAUUAGGUAGUUGGUGAGGUAAAGGCUCACCAAGCCUUCGAUCUGUAGCUGGUCUGAGAGGACGACCAGCCACACUGGGACUGAGACACGGCCCAGACUCCUACGGGAGGCAGCAGUGGGGAAUUUUGGACAAUGGGCGCAAGCCUGAUCCAGCCAUGCCGCGUGCAGGAUGAAGGCCUUCGGGUUGUAAACUGCUUUUGUACGGAACGAAACGGCCUUUUCUAAUAAAGAGGGCUAAUGACGGUACCGUAAGAAUAAGCACCGGCUAACUACGUGCCAGCAGCCGCGGUAAUACGUAGGGUGCAAGCGUUAAUCGGAAUUACUGGGCGUAAAGCGUGCGCAGGCGGUGAUGUAAGACAGUUGUGAAAUCCCCGGGCUCAACCUGGGAACUGCAUCUGUGACUGCAUCGCUGGAGUACGGCAGAGGGGGAUGGAAUUCCGCGUGUAGCAGUGAAAUGCGUAGAUAUGCGGAGGAACACCGAUGGCGAAGGCAAUCCCCUGGGCCUGUACUGACGCUCAUGCACGAAAGCGUGGGAGCAACAGAU
RNAcentral lists this ribosomal RNA (775 nucleotides) under Variovorax sp. CUL-LAN1K1. RNAcentral's name for it is "bacterial SSU rRNA". It matches the Rfam family "Bacterial small subunit ribosomal RNA", at positions 1 to 778 of the family's 1533-position model. The record is from RNAcentral. Lineage: Bacteria; Pseudomonadati; Pseudomonadota; Betaproteobacteria; Burkholderiales; Comamonadaceae.